Vicia villosa (hairy vetch) is the source of this 1278-nucleotide long non-coding RNA. RefSeq lists it as uncharacterized. Lineage: Eukaryota; Viridiplantae; Streptophyta; Magnoliopsida; Fabales; Fabaceae. The transcript is spliced from 4 exons. The record is from RefSeq and is a predicted model, not a curated record.
GGAGAAGCUUGAAGAACCCAGGUAUGCUUCUUCCUGAAUUUCGUUUUUGUUCUCUUUUUAAUGAUAACUCAGUGACAUCUCUCUCUUUUCUAUUUCGAUUUUGCUUGCGGCGAACAACAAUAACAACAUAGAGAAUCUCUUCCUUGCCGUGGACAACAAUCGGUUUCUCUUUUGCUCAAUCACUCACCGGUUUCUUUCUCUGAACUCUCCGCCUCUCUCAAUCUGAAUAACACAACAGCGACUUUCGAAGUCCUCCGGCGAUCAUGAAAACUCAUAUUGACGAGAACAGCUUAAGCUAUACACCGAUUUCUUUCACAAACAGAGCUGCAACAAACUAUAAUAUUUAGAGAAAGUGUGAAGACUUACCUACGGCGAGGAGAUUUUCACCGGAUUUUAUGUUGAGCGUCGGUGUUUUGAAUCAUAGGAUAUUGACGGUUCAUCUACGGAGGCUCGAAGAUUGUUGACUUUUUGAGAGUUUGUUGUGAUGAGGGUGAACAAACCGCUCUUUGAUGAAGGUGAUGCCACAACACCUCUUUUGAUAUUAGGGAGACUUGAAGAUGGACUUCAAGUUGGAACUCUCCACUAAGGUAUGAACUACUUCUCACUCCUUUUCUAACUAUGGAACUUUGUAGCUAGGAAUUCUCACUUUUCAAGUGGUUUACCAAGAAACUUGAAAACUUAUGAGAGAAGAGGGAGAAAUGAGAAAGCUAGUAGUAUAGUAGCUUUGGUGUGAUUAACUUCAAAGAAAACACUUCUAUUUAUAGGAAAAAUUUAGGGAUAUGUUAGGAAUUGAGAAGCUUUGUUGGAAGGUUAUGGUCAUUGCAAGAAUGAGAAUAAGAAUAAGAAUAUUCUUCAUGACAUAUUCAAAGAUAUUUUUCAUGACAUAAGCCAUAAAAAAAUCUUUCUUUGAUCCUUUUUUGUCUUGAAUUAACCUUUUGCUAAUCUCACCCCUUUUUGUUUUCUUUUUCAUGUCACAUGAGAACUCUUGAGGAAAGCAUGAAGAAAAUUGAAUUUGAAGGAUGAAGACUUUGAAGAUUGAAGAAUUCAAGAAAGUCUUGCAUUUUCUUUUAUUCUUUGUAAUCCAAAUUUAUUCCACUUUAGAAUUGUAUGAACUUGUAUUCUUGAAAGCGAAUAGAAUUUGAAAGUUGUAAUAUCUUUGAACCUUGAAUUAGACUUGAAAUGUUGUAAUCUUGAAUUUUGGACAAAGUCUCUAUUGUAACUCAUUUGAAAUUUGGAAUUUGUUCAUGUAAAGAAACUCCACUUGAAUAUCCUUUAGAA